RNAcentral lists this non-coding RNA (28 nucleotides) under Homo sapiens (human). The record is from RNAcentral. Lineage: Eukaryota; Metazoa; Chordata; Mammalia; Primates; Hominidae.
UGGCCUGUAUGUGUGUGUUUUAAAGCAC